Molecule: long non-coding RNA, 535 nt
Filed under: Triticum aestivum (bread wheat)
Lineage: Eukaryota; Viridiplantae; Streptophyta; Magnoliopsida; Poales; Poaceae
Description: long non-coding RNA (TAES_LNC007027)
Source: RNAcentral
UUUGAUUCUUAAUUACAGAGUGGUCCAAUCAAGAUAAUUGCAACCUACUCCCUCCGUUCCUAAAUACUUGUCUUUCUAGGCAUUUCAACAAGUGACUACAUACGGAGCAAAAUGAGUGAAUCUACACUCUAAAAUAUGUCUACAUACAUCCGUAUGUAGUAGUCAUUUGAAAUGUCUAGAAAGACAAAUAGGAACGGAGGGAGUAAAAUACAUCCGCUCGUUUGGUUCACCAUAGGUGCUGAGCAUAUCUGCAUUGGAGAUGGCAUCGUUGAAGAUAACCAUAUGACCUAUAGGAUGCGAGUGUUCCAUUCUUGUGCUGCUCUUUGGUGCCGUUCCCAGAACUACAGCAACUUAAUUCCUCCUCUGUAAAGUUUUUCUGUGAAUCUUGUAUCUCCAGGCUUCUAGUGAGAUUGUAUCAUAGCACAGGUGUAAUGAUCUGCUAGCUACCAGGCUUGUAUAUCUAGAGAUUUGGAUUUCUCAAUAAAGCUUCUAAAUGGGAUAAAAGAAAUUAUUUCUUCCCCCUCCACGUACAAAA